This 83-nucleotide transfer RNA is filed under the name Candidatus Woesearchaeota archaeon. RNAcentral describes it as "tRNA-Ser". It matches the Rfam family "tRNA". From Rfam's summary of the family: Transfer RNA (tRNA) molecules are approximately 80 nucleotides in length. Their secondary structure includes four short double-helical elements and three loops (D, anti-codon, and T loops). Lineage: Archaea; Nanobdellati; Candidatus Woesearchaeota. The record is from RNAcentral.
GCCGCGAUCGCAUAACCCGGUAUUGCGACGGUCUCGAAAACCGUUUCCGAAAGGAACUCCCGGUUCAAAUCCGGGUCGCGGCG